GGCGAAAGGAGGCCUCUGCUUCUGUACACAUCCACCUCAAUGCAGAAGCAGACUCAGGACUACCUGACAGGUGUCAGAGGAGGGGAGAAGCAACUGUCCACAGCCCUGCAGGAGCCAGGGCCUGAGAAAGACCCCAGGAUGCCGCCUUGUACGCACUGGGCCUGAACUGGUGAGCACAACCCACCGGCUUAACCUCACACCCUGCACGCUGUGCGGCUGGGCCACAGCCACGCGACUUCAGCGUGGAGGGAAGCCGGCGGGUCAUUCUGGGUACCGCGGUGGCCUCCUGCCCUUCAGGACACCGCCUGAGCUGAAAGACAGAGCUCACCCCCGAGUCUCAGGUGGCCGGGCUUAUCAGCACCUACCCGUAAUCCCUGAGGUCCAGGGUGUGCAGCUCCAGCUGAGGCUCCCGCUGCCCGGCGCCCGACGGCCCCUGCGAGGCG
Balaenoptera musculus (blue whale) is the source of this 443-nucleotide long non-coding RNA. RefSeq lists it as uncharacterized. The transcript has 3 exons. NCBI's taxonomy places the organism in Eukaryota, Metazoa, Chordata, Mammalia, Artiodactyla, Balaenopteridae. The record is from RefSeq and is a predicted model, not a curated record.